UGAGGAAUUUUGCGCAAUAGGGGAAACCCUGACGCAGCAACGCCGCGUGAGUGAAGAAGGCCUUCGGGUCGUAAAGCUCUGUCAAGUGGGAAAAAAGUCAACUAGUGAAUAGCUGGUUGGCCUGAUGGUACCACUAGAGGAAGCACCGGCUAACUCCGUGCCAGCAGCCGCGGUAAUACGGAGGGUGCAAGCGUUGUUCGGAAUUAUUGGGCGUAAAGCGCGUGUAGGCGGUUUGGUAAGUCAGAUGUGAAAGCCCUGGGCUUAACCCAGGAAGUGCAUUUGAAACUGCCAUACUCGAGUAUGGGAGAGGAGAGUGGAAUUCCCAGUGUAGAGGUGAAAUUCGUAGAUAUUGGGAGGAACACCCGUGGCGAAGGCGACUCUCUGGACCAAUACUGACGCUGAGACGCGAAAGCGUGGGGAGCAAACAGG
This 429-nucleotide ribosomal RNA is filed under the name uncultured Desulfobacterium sp. RNAcentral describes it as "bacterial SSU rRNA". It matches the Rfam family "Bacterial small subunit ribosomal RNA", at positions 355 to 776 of the family's 1533-position model. Lineage: Bacteria; Pseudomonadati; Thermodesulfobacteriota; Desulfobacteria; Desulfobacterales; Desulfobacteriaceae. The record is from RNAcentral.